This 487-nucleotide ribosomal RNA is filed under the name Weissella cibaria. RNAcentral's name for it is "bacterial SSU rRNA". It matches the Rfam family "Bacterial small subunit ribosomal RNA", at positions 998 to 1486 of the family's 1533-position model. The record is from RNAcentral. Lineage: Bacteria; Bacillati; Bacillota; Bacilli; Lactobacillales; Lactobacillaceae.
CUCCAGAGAUGGAGCGUUCCCUUCGGGGACAAGGUGACAGGUGGUGCAUGGUUGUCGUCAGCUCGUGUCGUGAGAUGUUGGGUUAAGUCCCGCAACGAGCGCAACCCUUAUUACUAGUUGCCAGCAUUUAGUUGGGCACUCUAGUGAGACUGCCGGUGACAAACCGGAGGAAGGUGGGGAUGACGUCAAAUCAUCAUGCCCCUUAUGACCUGGGCUACACACGUGCUACAAUGGCGUAUACAACGAGUUGCCAACCCGCGAGGGUGAGCUAAUCUCUUAAAGUACGUCUCAGUUCGGAUUGUAGGCUGCAACUCGCCUACAUGAAGUCGGAAUCGCUAGUAAUCGCGGAUCAGCACGCCGCGGUGAAUACGUUCCCGGGUCUUGUACACACCGCCCGUCACACCAUGAGAGUUUGUAACACCCAAAGCCGGUGGGGUAACCUUCGGGAGCCAGCCGUCUAAGGUGGGACAGAUGAUUAGGGUGAAGU